Cydia splendana is the source of this 1135-nucleotide long non-coding RNA. RefSeq lists it as uncharacterized. The record is from RefSeq and is a predicted model, not a curated record. The transcript has 2 exons. Lineage: Eukaryota; Metazoa; Arthropoda; Insecta; Lepidoptera; Tortricidae.
UUAUCGCAAAUUGGACUUAUAUUUUGCCCCAAAAAUAAUAUUUUAUCAAAUUGUAACUUUAUGUUUACUCAUAAAAAAAAUCAUAACUAUAGGACCUACCUAGCCGUAAAUCUAUAUUUUUUUAAAGACGUAUAAAUCACGCUGCACCGACACCGCGCGCUCAGUCUCCGCCGAGUGCGCUUAGGGGACGGACCUGUGCUCGACCGUCAGGCGUUCGUUGCUUUCGUAACCAUCGAGAGAGUUCCGAGAAGUGCUGUAUACUAUGAUUAGAAAAUCUUGAUCCAAGGGUGUACAUUUUUUACACCAUAUUUAAUUUUAACAACCGACUCUCGCUUAUGUGAUAGAUUUUCAGUGUUACUUGAAUUCUGGUUAGGGUUUGCAUUUUUAUUAUACCCGGACGACCUGGAUGAUGUCCAGGUUCUCAUGAUGGAGUCAGGAAUGGUCACCGAACUCCUAAUCUACUCAUCAUAACUCCAUCGUGUUUGGGCUCAAUAGAUUUUCCUUGACGAACACCAUCGAUCUAGAUGAGGUCCAGGUUCUCAUGAUGGAGUCAGGAGUUGGUCACUAGAACUCCUAAUCUACUCAUUAACACUCCAUCGUGUUUGGGUUCAAAUGAUUUGCCCUGACGAGCACCAUCUAUCUAGAUAAGGUCCAGGGUCAUGAGACCCUUCUGGUGACCAACUUCUGACUCCAUCAUGAGAUGGUCACCAGAAGUCCUAAUUUACUCAUCAUAAGUCCAUCGUGUUUGGGCUCAAUCGAUUUGCCUCGACGAGCACCAUCUAUCUAGAUGAGGUCCAGGUUCUCAUGAUGGAGUCAGGAGUUGGUCACCAGAACUCCUAAUCUACUCAUUAUCACUCCAUCGUGUUUGGGCUCAAUCGAUUUGCCUCGACGAGCACCAUCUAUCUAGAUGAGGUCCAGGGUCAUGAGACCCUUCUGGUGACCAGCUCCUGACUCCAUCAUGAGAUGGUCACCAGAUGUUCUAAUCUACUCAUCAUAACUCCAUCGUGUUUGGGCUCAAUAGAUUUGCCCCGACGAGCACCAUCGAUCUAGAUGAAGUCCAGGUUCUCAUGAUGGAGUCAGGAGUUGGUCACCAGAAAUCCUAAUCUACUCAUUAUCACUCUAUCGUGAUUGGGCU